This 319-nucleotide small RNA is filed under the name Vigna angularis var. angularis. Its description in RNAcentral is "Non-protein coding transcript". The record is from RNAcentral. Lineage: Eukaryota; Viridiplantae; Streptophyta; Magnoliopsida; Fabales; Fabaceae.
CUUCAAUCAAUUGUGCGUUUCGGAUUGAGUGACAGAGAUGGAGCUUGGGUCAAAUUCUGAUGAUAGUAAAUCAACCUUUUGUCUGGUGGAUGAGGAUCAUACAUUUGCAAAUUCUAUACGAUACACCUUAAAUCAGGAGUUAGUAUAUUCGAAGAGUGACAUAUUGUGGAUACAGCAUUCCUCAUCCCUCAUUUAAUCAAGUUAAUAUCAGAGUUCAGACAACAGAGGAUUCAGCAAAGGAGGUUUUUAAAGAUGGAUGCAUGGAAUUGAUGCUUGUGUGCCGCCAUGUUAGGAGCUCUUUUGAUCAUGCUGUCACUCA